UACGGAGGGGGCGAGCGUUGUUCGGAUUUACUGGGCGUAAAGGGCAUGUCGGUGUCCCGAUAAGCUCUGGGUGAAAUCUCCGCGCUUAACGCGGAAAGGUCUCAGAGAACUGUCGGGAUUGAGUUCAGGGGAAGAGAGUGGAAUUCUCGGUGUAGCGGUGAAAUGCGUAGAUAUCGAGAAGAACACCAGCGGCGAAGGCGGCUCUCUAUCCUGAAACUGACACUCAAAUGCGAAAGCGUGGGGAGCGAACGGGAUUAGAUACCCUCGUA
Molecule: ribosomal RNA, 269 nt
Filed under: uncultured prokaryote
Description: partial 16S ribosomal RNA
Rfam family: Bacterial small subunit ribosomal RNA
Source: RNAcentral